GAUUAACGCUGGCGGCGUGCAUAACACAUGCAAGUCGAACGAAGUUGCGGACGGGUGAGUAACGCGUGAGUAACCUGCCUUAGAGAAGGGGAUAGCAUUUGGAAAAGAAGAAUAAUACCCUAUGCUUUAAGAUGUACUUGCGUCUGAUUAGUUAGUUGGUGGGGUAACGGCCUACCAAGACAGCGAUCAGUAGCCGGCUUGAGAGAGGGUACUGCCACAUUGGGACUGAGACACGGUCCAGUAUCUACGGGAGGCAGCAGUGGGGAAUUUUGCACAAUGGGGGAAACCCUGAUGCAGCGACGCCGCGUGAUUUAGAAGGCUUUCGAGUCGUAAAGUUCUUUUAUAUGGGAAGCGGUACCAUAAGAAAAAGCCCCGGCUAACUACGUGCCAGCCGCCGCGGUAAUAC
Molecule: ribosomal RNA, 406 nt
Filed under: uncultured bacterium
Lineage: Bacteria
Description: partial 16S ribosomal RNA
Rfam family: Bacterial small subunit ribosomal RNA
Source: RNAcentral